RNAcentral lists this ribosomal RNA (663 nucleotides) under Stethojulis interrupta (cutribbon wrasse). RNAcentral's name for it is "partial 12S ribosomal RNA". It matches the Rfam family "Bacterial small subunit ribosomal RNA", at positions 513 to 1491 of the family's 1533-position model. Lineage: Eukaryota; Metazoa; Chordata; Actinopteri; Labriformes; Labridae. The record is from RNAcentral.
CACCGCGGUUAUACGAGGAACCCAAGUAGAUGGCCUCCGGCGUAAAGAGUGGUUAAAAUGCUAGAAAAACUAAAGCCAAAUAUCCUCAUAACUGUUAUACGUUCAUGAGAGCAAGAAGCCCAACCACGAAAGUGGCUUUACACAUUUGACCCCACGAAAGCUAGGGCACAAACUGGGAUUAGAUACCCCACUAUGCCUAGCCAUAAACAUAGAUAACUAAGUACUUAUUUAUCCGCCCGGGAACUACGAGCGACAGCUUAAAACCCAAAGGACUUGGCGGUGCUUUAGAUCCACCUAGAGGAGCCUGUUCUGGAACCGAUAAUCCCCGUUAAACCUCACCUUUCCUUGUUCUUUUCCGCCUAUAUACCGCCGUCGUCAGCUUACUCUGUGAAGAAUAAGCAGUAAGCGCAACCGGCAAAGCCCAAAACGCCAGGUCGAGGUGUAGCGAAUGGAGAGGGAAGAAAUGGGCUACAUUCAAUAACAAUAAUGCACACGGAAGGUGCUCUGAAACAGGCACCUGAAGGAGGAUUUAGAAGUAAGCCGGGAGCAGAGUGCCCUGCUGAAACUGGCCCUGAAGCGCGUACACACCGCCCGUCACUCUCCCCGAAAAAAAUUAAACCAUUUUUAAUAAGCCAAUAAACAUAGAGGGGAGGCAAGUCGUAA